Molecule: ribosomal RNA, 301 nt
Filed under: uncultured bacterium
Lineage: Bacteria
Description: partial 16S ribosomal RNA
Rfam family: Bacterial small subunit ribosomal RNA
Source: RNAcentral
CAGUAGCCGCGGUAAUACGGAGGGUGCAAGCGUUAAUCGGAAUUACUGGGCGUAAAGCGCACGCAGGCGGUCUGUCAAGUCAGAUGUGAAAUCCCCGGGCUUAACCUGGGAACUGCAUUUGAAACUGGCAGGCUAGAGUCUUGUAGAGGGGGGUAGAAUUCCAGGUGUAGCGGUGAAAUGCGUAGAGAUCUGGAGGAAUACCGGUGGCGAAGGCGGCCCCCUGGACAAAGACUGACGCUCAGGUGCGAAAGCGUGGGGAGCAAACAGGAUUAGAGACCCCUGUAGUCCCUGUCUCUUAUAA